Molecule: ribosomal RNA, 442 nt
Filed under: uncultured Actinomycetes bacterium
Lineage: Bacteria; Bacillati; Actinomycetota; Actinomycetes
Description: bacterial SSU rRNA
Rfam family: Bacterial small subunit ribosomal RNA
Source: RNAcentral
CCUACGGGGGGCUGCAGUGAGGAAUCUUGCACAAUGGGGGAAACCCUGAUGCAGCGAUGCCGCGUGCGGGAUGAAGGCCCUAGGGUUGUAAACCGCUUUCAGUAGGGAAGAAAGUGACGGUACCUACAGAAGAAGCCCCGGCCAACUAUGUGCCAGCAGCCGCGGCGAUACAUAGGGGGCUAGCGUUGUCCGGAUUUACUGGGCGUAAAGAGCUCGUAGGCGGUUUAAUAAGUCGACAAGUGAAAUCUCCAGGCUCAACCUGGAGCGGCCUUGCGAUACUAUUAUGACUUGAGUGUGGUAGAGGAGUGUGGAAUUCCCAGUGUAGCGGUGAAAUGCGCAGAUAUUGGGAGGAACACCUAUGGCGAAGGCAGCACUCUGGGCCAUUACUGACGCUGAGGAGCGAAAGCGUGGGGAGCGAACAGGAUUAGAUACCCCUGUAGUC